RNAcentral lists this long non-coding RNA (300 nucleotides) under Daucus carota (carrot). Its description in RNAcentral is "long non-coding RNA (DCAR_LNC002445)". The record is from RNAcentral. Lineage: Eukaryota; Viridiplantae; Streptophyta; Magnoliopsida; Apiales; Apiaceae.
CAAUAUAACCCUACUCUCUGACUCCAUUCAUCCCCGCCACUCAACCAACACCCAAUAGCUGCUCAAUUAUAAUACUCUCAGAUCUCUACUACCGUUAUCUUCAUUUUCUGGUAAAUCUCUGUUUGUGUAUAAAUCCAAUUUAAGUUUAUGUAGUUACCCAUCAUUUUCUUAUACAUAUGUUAUUGGGAUUUUGUGUAGUUACAAUGGAGAAAGAUACAUCAGCUGUUAUGGAAUUAGACGAAUCCAUCCCGAAAGAGGAGAGGAACAACAAUCGUGAUACACCAAUUAACGUUGAUGAAG